RNAcentral lists this ribosomal RNA (453 nucleotides) under Lactobacillus sp. Its description in RNAcentral is "bacterial SSU rRNA". It matches the Rfam family "Bacterial small subunit ribosomal RNA", at positions 91 to 531 of the family's 1533-position model. Lineage: Bacteria; Bacillati; Bacillota; Bacilli; Lactobacillales; Lactobacillaceae. The record is from RNAcentral.
GUGAGUGGCGGACGGGUGAGUAACACGUGGGUAACCUGCCCAAAAGUGGGGGAUAACAUUUGGAAACAAGUGCUAAUACCGCAUAACAACUGCUUUCACAUGAUCGCAGCUUGAAAGAUGGCUCUGCUAUCGCUUUUGGAUGGACCCGCGGCGUAUUAGCUAGUUGGUGAGGUAAUAGCUCACCAAGGCAAUGAUACGUAGCCGACCUGAGAGGGUAAUCGGCCACAUUGGGACUGAGACACGGCCCAAACUCCUACGGGAGGCAGCAGUAGGGAAUCUUCCACAAUGGGCGAAAGCCUGAUGGAGCAAUGCCGCGUGAGUGAAGAAGGUUUUCGGAUCGUAAAACUCUGUUGUUGAAGAAGAACAUGCGUGAGAGUAACUGUUCACGUACUGACGGUAUUCAACCAGAAAGCCACGGCUAACUACGUGCCAGCAGCCGCGGUAAUACGUAGG